AUUGAACGCUGGCGGCAGGCCUAACACAUGCAAGUCGAGCGGAUGAAGGGAGCUUGCUCCUGGAUUCAGCGGCGGACGGGUGAGUAAUGCCUAGGAAUCUGCCUGGUAGUGGGGGAUAACGUCCGGAAACGGGCGCUAAUACCGCAUACGUCCUGAGGGUGAAAGUGGGGGAUCUUCGGACCUCACGCUAUCAGAUGAGCCUAGGUCGGAUUAGCUAGUUGGUGGGGUAAAGGCCUACCAAGGCGACGAUCCGUAACUGGUCUGAGAGGAUGAUCAGUCACACUGGAACUGGAACACGGUCCAGGCUACUACGGGAGGCAGCAGUGGGGAAUGUGGGACAAUGGGCGAAAGCCUGAUCCAGCCAUGCCGCGUGUGUGAAGAAGGUCUUCGGAUUGUAAAGCACUUUAAGUUGGGAGGAAGGGCAGUAAGUUAAUACCUUGCUGUUGUGACGUUACCAACAGAAUAAGCACCGGCUAACUUCGUG
Molecule: ribosomal RNA, 484 nt
Filed under: uncultured bacterium
Lineage: Bacteria
Description: partial 16S ribosomal RNA
Rfam family: Bacterial small subunit ribosomal RNA
Source: RNAcentral